Molecule: long non-coding RNA, 411 nt
Organism: Clupea harengus (Atlantic herring)
Lineage: Eukaryota; Metazoa; Chordata; Actinopteri; Clupeiformes; Clupeidae
Exons: 3
Source: RefSeq, a predicted model, not a curated record
AACAGGUUUUGGUCCUCUUUCCUGUAAACAUCCACAGAGUGCACUGCAGACAGAAGCACUCAGGUGUGUGUGAGACGAAGACUUCUUUUGAAGAUCGCCAUUCAAACUAAACCUAUAUCUACAGAAUGAAUGAUUCUUAUUCAUGAAGCCAUAAGUACUUCAUGACACUGAGGCCAUCUGAGUGAAACUGAAGAGAUGGCUGCAGGGGGAUCAUCUAGUGGAGGUGUCCUCCAUCUCUCAGACUUGAGGAUUGUGCUGCUGGGGAACAGAGAAGCUGCAAAGAGUUCAGCAGGAAACACCAUCCUGGGCAGAGAGGAGUUUGACCCUGAUGUGAGAACACUGCAGUGUGUGAAGAGACAGGGAGAGGUAGCAGGGAGACAGGUCACUGUGGUGGACACGCCAGGAUGGACA